GCCCAGAUAGCUCACUUGGGAGAGCGCCAGACUAAAGAGUGAUCCAGAGGGAUCUGGAGGUCCUCAGCUCGAUCCUGGGUCUGGGCA
Molecule: non-coding RNA, 87 nt
Organism: Perkinsus chesapeaki
Lineage: Eukaryota; Perkinsozoa; Perkinsida; Perkinsidae
Source: the annotation of a GenBank genome assembly